RNAcentral lists this ribosomal RNA (120 nucleotides) under uncultured bacterium. RNAcentral's name for it is "partial 16S ribosomal RNA". It matches the Rfam family "Bacterial small subunit ribosomal RNA", at positions 215 to 334 of the family's 1533-position model. The record is from RNAcentral.
UCGGCCAGGGAUGUGCUCGCGGCCUAUCAGCUUGAUGGUGAGGUAAUGGCUCACCAUGGCUUCGACGGGUAGCCGGCCUGAGAGGGUGACCGGCCACACUGGGACUGAGACACGGCCCAG